RNAcentral lists this ribosomal RNA (424 nucleotides) under Verrucomicrobiota bacterium. RNAcentral's name for it is "Verrucomicrobia bacterium partial 16S ribosomal RNA". It matches the Rfam family "Bacterial small subunit ribosomal RNA", at positions 355 to 776 of the family's 1533-position model. The record is from RNAcentral. Lineage: Bacteria; Pseudomonadati; Verrucomicrobiota.
UGAGGAAUAUUGGUCAAUGGACGCAAGUCUGAACCAGCCAAGUAGCGUGCAGGAUGACGGCCCUAUGGGUUGUAAACUGCUUUUAUAUGGGGAUAAAGUGGGGAACGUGUUCCCUUUUGCAGGUACCAUAUGAAUAAGGACCGGCUAAUUCCGUGCCAGCAGCCGCGGUAAUACGGAAGGUUCGGGCGUUAUCCUGAUUUAUUGGGUUUAAAGGGAGCGUAGGCCGUUUGGUAAGCGUGUUGUGAAAUGUAGGAGCUCAACUUCUAGAUUGCAGCGCGAACUGUCAGACUUGAGUGCGCACAACGUAGGCGGAAUUCAUGGUGUAGCGGUGAAAUGCUUAGAUAUCAUGAAGAACUCCGAUUGCGAAGGCAGCUUACGGGAGCGCAACUGACGCUGAAGCUCGAAGGUGCGGGUAUCGAACAGG